The sequence is a ribosomal RNA, 454 nucleotides long. It matches the Rfam family "Bacterial large subunit ribosomal RNA", at positions 1 to 501 of the family's 2925-position model.
GGUCAAGUGACUAAGCGUGCACGGUGGAUGCCUUGGCAGUCAGAGGCGAUGAAGGACGUGGUAACCUGCGAUAAGGUUCGGUGAGUCGGUAAACAGACUUUGACCCGGACAUUUCCGAAUGGGGAAACCCACCCAGUAUAAGCUGGGUAUCUCUUAGUUGAAUACAUAGACUGAGAGAGGCGAACCCGGGGAACUGAAACAUCUAAGUACCCGGAGGAAAAGAAAUCAACCGAGAUUCCCCUAGUAGCGGCGAGCGAACGGGGACCAGCCCUUAAGCUGUUUUAACAUUAGCAGAACACUCUGGAAAGUGUGGCCAUAGUGGGUGAAAGCCCCGUAUGCGAAAGUGUUUUAACAGUGAAAUCGAGUAGGACGGGACACGUGUUAUCCUGUCUGAAUAUGGGGGGACCAUCCUCCAAGGCUAAAUACUCCUGACUGACCGAUAGUGAACCAGUAC